RNAcentral lists this transfer RNA (75 nucleotides) under Clostridiales bacterium. RNAcentral describes it as "tRNA-Asn". It matches the Rfam family "tRNA". Rfam says of the family: Transfer RNA (tRNA) molecules are approximately 80 nucleotides in length. Their secondary structure includes four short double-helical elements and three loops (D, anti-codon, and T loops). Further hydrogen bonds mediate the characteristic L-shaped molecular structure. tRNAs have two regions of fundamental functional importance: the anti-codon, which is responsible for specific mRNA codon recognition, and the 3' end, to which the tRNAs corresponding amino acid is attached (by aminoacyl-tRNA synthetases). tRNAs cope with the degeneracy of the genetic code in two manners: having more than one tRNA (with a specific anti-codon) for a particular amino acid; and 'wobble' base-pairing, i.e. permitting non-standard base-pairing at the 3rd anti-codon position. The record is from RNAcentral. Lineage: Bacteria; Bacillati; Bacillota; Clostridia; Eubacteriales.
UCCCCAGUAGCUCAGUGGUGGAGCGCUCGGCUGUUAACCGAUAGGUCGUAGGUUCGAAUCCUACCUGGGGAGCCA